Molecule: small RNA, 781 nt
Filed under: Pan troglodytes (chimpanzee)
Lineage: Eukaryota; Metazoa; Chordata; Mammalia; Primates; Hominidae
Description: processed transcript
Source: RNAcentral
CUCUGAGUGUUGCAAUGGCAAAGUUUCUGGCAGGGUGUGGGGGACCCUUGCUCAAUGACCUCCUGCCCUGUUGCUCAGAGGAUACCGCUGCCAGAAAAGGGUUGGCUCAUUGUGGGGCUUCCCAAGGUACUCUGGUAGCCCCAGCUUCUGACCUGGUCCUUUCUCUGGUAUGGGGAUAGGAGGAGAGCUCCGGAGGUCUCUGACCCCUCCCAAGGAUCAUGCCGCAGCCCCACUGACCCAGGAGUAGGGGCCUAAGGGCAGGGAACCUGGAAUGGGCUGUGUGUUCUGCAAGAAAUUGGAGCCGGCGCCCACGGCCAAGGAGGAUGCUGGCCUGGAAGGGGACUUCAGAAGCUACGGGGCAGCAGACCACUAUGGGCCUGACCCCACUAAGGCCCGGCCUGCAUCCUCAUUUGCCCACAUCCCCAACUACAGCAACUUCUCCUCUCAGGCCAUCAACCCUGGCUUCCUUGAUAGUGGCACCAUCAGGGGUGUGUCAGGUGAGUCCAAGGGGUCGGAGGCAGGAGCUGCCUGGAUCCUGGGAGAAACUGAGGGAAGAAGAAGAGAUGCGAACUUGCCCUUAGGAGCCUCCAGGAGGAUGUGGCAGAUACAACCCCGCUUUCAAGAUCACAUGGGCUGAGGGAGUCUGUACAGCCCUACCAUCAGAAACCACAGUCUGCAGGGGAGGGUCAAGAAGCUCUACUCCCAGUCUGAGAGGGGCAGGAUCCUGUGACAGAUGCAAGUGACAAAGAGAAACUUCUUGCCCUUUUAGGUGCCACUUCCC